GAUGAAGAACGCAGCGAAAUGCGAUAAGUAAUGUGAAUUGCAGAAUUCAGUGAAUCAUCGAAUCUUUGAACGCACCUUGCGCCCCCUGGUAUUCCGGGGGGCAUGCCUGUCCGAGCGUCAUUACAACCCUCAAGCUCAGCUUGGUGUUGGGCCCCGCCGCCCCGGCGGGCCCUAAAGUCAGUGGCGGUGCCGUCCGGCUCCGAGCGUAGUAAUUCUUCUCGCUCUGGAGGUCCGGUCGUGUGCUCGCCAGCAACCCCCAAUUUUUUUCAGGUUGACCUCGGAUCAGGUAGGGAUACCCGCUGAACUUAAGCAUAUCAAUAAGCGGAGGA
This 329-nucleotide unclassified non-coding RNA is filed under the name soil metagenome. RNAcentral describes it as "partial contains 5.8S ribosomal RNA, internal transcribed spacer 2, and large subunit ribosomal RNA". The stretch from base 1 to 120 matches the Rfam family "5.8S ribosomal RNA", at positions 35 to 154 of the family's 154-position model. The record is from RNAcentral.